AGUGAACGCUGGCGGUAGGCCUAACACAUGCAAGUCGAACGGCAGCACAGUAAGAGCUUGCUCUUACGGGUGGCGAGUGGCGGACGGGUGAGGAAUACAUCGGAAUCUACUUUUUCGUGGGGGAUAACGUAGGGAAACUUACGCUAAUACCGCAUACGACCUACGGGUGAAAGCAGUGGAUCUUCGCACCUUGCGCGAUUGAAUGAGCCGAUGUCGGAUUAGCUAGUUGGCGGGGUAAAGGCCCACCAAGGCGACGAUCCGUAGCUGGUCUGAGAGGAUGAUCAGCCACACUGGAACUGAGACACGGUCCAGACGCCUACGGGAGGCAGCAGUGGGGAAUAUUGGACAAUGGGCGCAAGCCUGAUCCAGCCAUACCGCGUGGGUGAAGAAGGCCUUCGGGUUGUAAAGCCCUUUUGUUGGGAAAGAAAAGCAGCAGGUUAAUACCCCGCUGUUCUGACGGUACCCAAAGAAUAAGCACCGGCUAACUUCGUG
RNAcentral lists this ribosomal RNA (492 nucleotides) under uncultured bacterium. RNAcentral describes it as "partial 16S ribosomal RNA". It matches the Rfam family "Bacterial small subunit ribosomal RNA", at positions 29 to 507 of the family's 1533-position model. The record is from RNAcentral.